Molecule: long non-coding RNA, 1516 nt
Filed under: Pan troglodytes (chimpanzee)
Lineage: Eukaryota; Metazoa; Chordata; Mammalia; Primates; Hominidae
Description: long non-coding RNA NONPTRT011520
Source: RNAcentral
AUUGCUCUAAAAGAUGCUGUGCUCUUGGACUCUAAAUUGCAGGAGCAUUGGGAGCGCCAUUUUUGUUGGAGGACCCUGCAAACCAGUUCCUACGUCUCAAAAGACAUGUAAAUUUGCAGGAUUACUGGGACCCAGAUCACAGUUCAGAUGUGUGGGGAAACACACUGGCUAAGCAGGCUCGUGAAACAUGGAUUGCUUUGAAAACAACAGCACAGUAUUAUUUGGAUAUGAAUACCUUCACCUUUGACAUGUCUACUGCCCAGUAAAUAUGUUUUCCUGGUUAAAGCAGGAGGAUGAAGAUGGCGGAGGUUGGAAUGGCAUUGUGCCAAAACCAUGGGUUUUAGAGAUCUGAGGGUAUAUCCAUGCUGUUUACUACAUUAUUUAUUAUGCCUGUCUCAAAGUUGUUGAAAACAGUAGUUAUGAAAACCCAUGUAGAAACCUGGAAUAAGACAUUCUCAAUAAAUGGUAGUUCUCAAAAAAAGAACUAAAAAAAAAAAAGGCUGUAGUAAUAACAUUUACCAAAAUGAUGGCAUUUAUGGGAAAAGGAAAGCAAAAACAAAAACAAAAAAAAAGUAGUUUCAUUAAACCACUCUGUUCAUAGCUUUUACUCUCUAUUGCCUCUUCUUUGAGAGAGUUUUUUAAUUCAAAGAAGGACAGGGAGCUCUCAAAUAGAGCUGAUCCUCUUCUCUCUUCUUCAGUGCUUGUCGCAUUCUUAAGUCAGUCGAUUUUAAAACCAUGAUUUUGAAACGUUUUUCAUCAAAGGUGUACUGCUGAGUGGAGAAUACAGCCUUACCUUAAUAUAACAAGUAGAUAGUGGCUAGGAACUCAAUGGAAGUCAUUCACUUGUAAGUGCAAAUUUCUUCUAAGUUUUGUAAAAUUUUUGUAAGCUUUGCAUUCUGUUCCACAAUUUAUUGAUGUUUGUUUUAAUGUGAAAUAACAGUUUUGACUCACUGGCCAGGCACAUUUUAUAAUUUUUUCAAUUAAAACUGAAAAAUUGGCCAUAGGGAAAAGUGGACUGCAUUUAUCCUAUAACUUUCCUAAUAUUCAUGGAUUACCACCUCAGUUUGAGAAGCAUUGAGAUGAUACAACUAAUUGCCAAGAUUGCCCCCCAAAAUCACAGGUAAAUGGAAUUUUUGUCCUCAGAAGUCUAUUUAUCUCCAUUCUCUAUUCUCUAUUUUAGUUGUUCUCUCGAACAAUUUAUUUUUACCUUUUAAGGUAAAUGGAAACAUUUCCCUAAGACCUUAGUUGAUCUUAUGUGGUCUUAAAACAAUCUUAAGCACUUUUUGAGUGGCAAGUAAAUCAGAAAAACCAAAUGCCAAGAAGUUGACUGGAAGGACUUGGGUCUCAGCAAUUUCUUCUCCAAAAGGACACUGACAGCUGCUCAGUAUUCCACAUUUCCCAUCCUAUGGCCUAGAGGUGUUUUCAGUGAGAAAUUUAAGGCUAAUUUAUAACUUAUUAAGUUAACUGCUAUCCAUUUCCAAUAAAUAUGAACAUAGAUUUUUAAAUUACAUCUGAA